RNAcentral lists this ribosomal RNA (436 nucleotides) under uncultured Thermoplasmatales archaeon. RNAcentral's name for it is "bacterial SSU rRNA". It matches the Rfam family "Archaeal small subunit ribosomal RNA", at positions 10 to 449 of the family's 1478-position model. The record is from RNAcentral. Lineage: Archaea; Methanobacteriati; Thermoplasmatota; Thermoplasmata; Thermoplasmatales.
GAUCCUGCCGGCGGGCACCGCUAUUGGAGUUCGCUUAAGCCAUGCGAGUCGAGAGGGGUAAGCCCUCGGCGCACUGCUCAGUAGCACGCGGACAAUCUGCCCUCGAGACGGGGAUAAUCCCGGGAAACUGGGAAUAAUACCCGAUAGGUCUGGGGUGAUGGAAGGCUCCCUGGCCAAAAUCUUCCGGGGCUCGAGGAUGGGUCUGCGGCCUAUCAGGUCGUAGGGGGCUUUACGGACCCCCUAGCCGAAGACGGGUACGGGCUUUGGGAGAAGUCGCCCGGAGAUGGAUUCUGAGACACGAAUCCAGGUCCUACGGGACGCAGCAGGCGCGAAACCUCCACAAUGUGGGCAACCACGAUGGGGGAACUCCAAGUGCUUACACUUUUGUGUAAGCUGUUCUCGAGCCUAAAAAGCUCGAGAAGUAAGGGCCGGGUAA